CGCCAUUCCCCGCUCCCUGGAAGUGCUGAGGGCGGCCCGGCGGUUCCCAUGGUGACCCGGCUGCCGUCAGGCGCGGCGGCCGCGCUUUGCCGCGAUGCGUCCCGGCUCCGGGACAAGGAGCAGGGAGCCGGUGGUGGAAUUGCCUCUCUGUCCGUGUGCUGAGCUCUGGCUGCAGGGACUGUCAGGCAUUGUUGGCUCUGUUGCCUGGUGUCCUUUCCCUGCCUGAGCUGGCUGUGGGUUUGGUGUGGGACGCGAGGCCGGAGAGAGCGAGCGGAGGAGCCUCGGGCUGGAGAGGGGCAGGAGAAAGGCCCUGUGGGCAAAGGGCCGUCCCUGUGUGCCCAGGGCCCUGCAGGGGACAGGAUGGACACUCUGGGGUCACUCUGAGGGGCAUCUCCGAGGGCUCUUGCUUUAGGGCCGCUGAGGGCAGAUUGCCCUGGCUUUAACAGUGCUGCUGGCUGCCGGCCUCCGGCUGGAAGGGCAGGGAUUUGGGGCGGGCGGGACACACGUGGGGGGCACAUGGGAGCUCUGGGAGGUGGGCCCUGGGUAUGGCUGCCCGUGCUGUUCCACAAACACAAUGUGCCUGCAUUCCCAAGUGCCAGCAGCGUCAGCAUAAAAGAGAAGAUUCAUUUUCCGGGAAUUACAUCGCUGGCACUCGGAAGGGGUUUGGGGUGUUUUGGGCAGCAUCAGGGUGGUGCUCGCUUUUGAACUGGGGCAAACCCUGUCCAUGCUGCGGGUGCCGUCCUGGGCCCAGGCCAGAGGGGCUGUGGUUGCCAGCUGCUCCCCGUGUCCGUGCUGAGCCAGCAUCCCAGGGGCACAACAGGCGGCACCGACACUUCAAAGGGAAGAUUUUUCUCUCUGUGGGAAGCCGGGACUUCAAGGAGCAAAAAACGUUCCUUUCCAGCGUGGUUCACCUCCCACCCUCCCCGAGCACGGCGCGGGCGACUGCAAGGAAGGAUUCAUUUCUGCCCGUCCCCAGCCGGUCCCAGCCCCACUGGCCACGCUCCCUGCGGCCCGUUCGUGCAGAGGAGGGAGAGCUGCGCAGAUUUAUUAAGAGUGCAGUUCCUGACAGUAUUUGUCUGCAGUCUUUCCCUCCUUUGACUCACGGGGCAGCGUCCGGUUUUCUUAUUUCCUCUUGUGUAGCUGUUUGCAUCAUAGGCAGGACCUGCCUCAUCUGGAAAUAAAGAUUAAAUAUUUUAA
Corapipo altera (White-ruffed manakin) is the source of this 1197-nucleotide long non-coding RNA. RefSeq lists it as uncharacterized. The transcript is spliced from 4 exons. NCBI's taxonomy places the organism in Eukaryota, Metazoa, Chordata, Aves, Passeriformes, Pipridae. The record is from RefSeq and is a predicted model, not a curated record.